CUUAAUCGUUAUAAACGCAUUUUACCGUCUACGCUAUUUUUACCCCGAUUUAACGCUAGUCUAAUAUGAAAAGCUGAAGUUUAAUGAGUAUAUCGAUACAUCAAACGUUCAGUAAUGGAAAUAGCAAUUUAGGCAUUAAAAAUACAGAUCAAACGGGCAUUGUUCCAAGCAUUGAUCAACUGAUGUUCAGCUGGCGACGUUAUUGCUGGACUUUCCUGAGAUUCUGUAUCUGUUUUCAUCUCUAAUAAUUGCUACCAUUAACUUGAAGUCUUCAGAUUGGUUCGAGCGAUAUUAAAGAGGUGAGCCCCAUCUCCCAAACCAAUGGUUUGAUUUUCUUGAAAAUUUCUAGAAACAUUUCUACCUAAUACUCAAACCUCUCUGAAAAAUGUCAGAAAAUUUCGACAAAAGCUACAUGAGUUAUUAAAUUUUAAAGUU
This is a long non-coding RNA of Centruroides sculpturatus (bark scorpion), 435 nucleotides long. RefSeq lists it as uncharacterized. Lineage: Eukaryota; Metazoa; Arthropoda; Arachnida; Scorpiones; Buthidae. The transcript has 3 exons. The record is from RefSeq and is a predicted model, not a curated record.